GGAAGUAAAAGUCGAACAAGGUCUCCGUUGGUGAACCAGCGGAGGGAUCAUUACCGAGUUUACAACUCCCAAACCCCUGUGAACAUACCUAUCGUUGCCUCGGCGGUGCCCGCUCCGGCGGCCCGCCAGAGGACCCCCAAACUCUUGUUUUAUACAGUAUCUUCUGAGUAACACGAUUAAAUAAAUCAAAACUUUCAACAACGGAUCUCUUGGUUCUG
RNAcentral lists this unclassified non-coding RNA (218 nucleotides) under plant metagenome. RNAcentral describes it as "partial contains small subunit ribosomal RNA, internal transcribed spacer 1, and 5.8S ribosomal RNA". The stretch from base 1 to 53 matches the Rfam family "Eukaryotic small subunit ribosomal RNA", at positions 1778 to 1831 of the family's 1831-position model. The record is from RNAcentral.